GGGGGGACGCAGUAGGAUAGGCGAAGCGUGCGAUUGGAUUGCACGUCUAAGCAGUAAGGCUGAGUAUUAGGCAAAUCCGGUACUCGUUAAGGCUGAGCUGUGAUGGGGAGAAGACAUUGUGUCUUCGAGUCGUUGAUUUCACACUGCCGAGAAAAGCCUCUAGAUAGAAAAUAGGUGCCCGUACCGCAAACCGACACAGGUAGUCAAGAUGAGAAUUCUAAGGUGAGCGAGCGAACUCUCGUUAAGGAACUCGGCAAAAUGACCCCGUAACUUCGGGAGAAGGGGUGCUCUUUAGGGUUAACGCCCAGAAGAGCCGCAGUGAAUAGGCCCAAGCGACUGUUUAUCAAAAACACAGGUCUCUGCUAAACCGUAAGGUGAUGUAUAGGGGCUGACGCCUGCCCGGUGCUGGAAGGUUAAGAGGAGUGGUUAGCUUCUGCGAAGCUACGAAUCGAAGCCCCAGUAAACGGCGGCCGUAACUAUAACGGUCCUAAGGUAGCGAAAUUCCUUGUCGGGUAAGUUCCGACCCGCACGAAAGGCGUAACGAUUUGGGCACUGUCUCAACGAGAGACUCGGUGAAAUCAUAGUACCUGUGAAGAUGCAGGUUACCCGCGACAGGACGGAAAGACCCCGUGGAGCUUUACUGUAGCCUGAUAUUGAAAUUCGGCACAGCUUGUACAGGAUAGGUAGGAGCCUUUGAAACGUGAGCGCUAGCUUACGUGGAGGCGCUGGUGGGAUACUACCCUAGCUGUGUUGGCUUUCUAACCCGCACCACUUAUCGUGGUGGGAGACAGUGUCAGGCGGGCAGUUUGACUGGGGCGGUCGCCUCCUAAAAGGUAACGGAGGCGCUCAAAGGUUCCCUCAGAAUGGUUGGAAAUCAUUCAUAGAGUGUAAAGGCAUAAGGGAGCUUGACUGCGAGACCUACAAGUCGAGCAGGGUCGAAAGACGGACUUAGUGAUCCGGUGGUUCCGCAUGGAAGGGCCAUCGCUCAACGGAUAAAAGCUACCCCGGGGAUAACAGGCUUAUCUCCCCCAAGAGUUCACAUCGACGGGGAGGUUUGGCACCUCGAUGUCGGCUCAUCGCAUCCUGGGGCUGUAGUCGGUCCCAAGGGUUGGGCUGUUCGCCCAUUAAAGCGGUACGCGAGCUGGGUUCAGAACGUCGUGAGACAGUUCGGUCCCUAUCCGUCGUGGGCGUAGGAAAUUUGAGAGGAGCUGUCCUUAGUACGAGAGGACCGGGAUGGACAUACCUCUGGUGUACCAGUUGUCGUGCCAACGGCAUAGCUGGGUAGCUAUGUGUGGACGGGAUAAGUGCUGAAAGCAUCUAAGCAUGAAGCCCCCCUCAAGAUGAGAUUUCCCAACUUCGGUUAUAAGAUCCCUCAAAGAUGAUGAGGUUAAUAGGUUCGAGGUGGAAGCAUGGUGACAUGUGGAGCUGACGAAUACUAAUCGAUCGAA
RNAcentral lists this ribosomal RNA (1448 nucleotides) under Staphylococcus aureus. RNAcentral describes it as "partial 23S ribosomal RNA". It matches the Rfam family "Bacterial large subunit ribosomal RNA", at positions 1466 to 2913 of the family's 2925-position model. The record is from RNAcentral. Lineage: Bacteria; Bacillati; Bacillota; Bacilli; Caryophanales; Staphylococcaceae.